Long non-coding RNA from Pygocentrus nattereri (red-bellied piranha), 1609 nucleotides. Lineage: Eukaryota; Metazoa; Chordata; Actinopteri; Characiformes; Serrasalmidae. The record is from Ensembl.
GUGAAGAAGCUAAUUUUAUCAUUUGGAUUGUCUUGUCUGUAUAUAAUACGAAGAUACCAUUCAGCUAAUCUUUACACAGCUGAAAAAAGUACAGUAACGCAACUUUGUCCACAACUCUCAUAAUUCAGGUUUACAGGCGGAGUUUGAGAAGCACUUGUAGCACAUUUGACAGGUUGAGAAAAUAGUUUGUGGUUAUGCUCAGGAAGCCUCACAGCAUAGAAAGAAAAAGACUGCAUUUCCUGAACUUCCUUGAACCCCUAAAGGCCAUCAGAAAUAGCAGUUACUAUAAGAGGAGAUAUGCAGAAUUCCUUACUCAGCAGUAAGUAUGUUGACUUCCCUGUUUGGCCAACGUCUCAACACCAAUUUUCAGACAUCGCUUUUCUAAGAUGAUGUGUGCGUGCUGGUUGUGUUUAUCUGUGCCUUGUUUUGGUAUUAUUGCAGUACAUCUACUGACCUCGUUUAAAAAGUCGACUGCGCUUGUUCAAGGAAAGAAGAGUCAAAUUGUUGAAUCCAAAGGAAGACUUUGUGCAAUUGGUGGUCUUGCAAGAACUUUGACAACAACAGAGAUCUACAGUACCAUCCACCCCAUAACAGUGCUACAAGACCACACCUCAUUUAACAAUAUAGACCUCUACCAUGGUGAGUCUUGGUUUUGGCCAUUAGCCAUGUACAGCCAACGUGAAACUUUGAGUAGUUUAAUUUCAUUUUAGCAGAUUCUUAAUUACAAGCUGGUUUGUACACUUUGUACUGGGAUCAGUCAAUGAUGUCUUUUGGGGACUUUGGCGGCAGUUAAUGGCAACAAAAAGACAUGCUCAGACUAGGCCUGAAAAUCAAACAACAACCAACAACUGGCAACACCCAAUUUUUGUGCUCUGACUAACCUAUAAUACUGUGCAGUGGUCAUAGACCACCCUUCAUUCAUUUAACUUUCCAUCAAAUCUGACAUUAAAUGCGAGUUUAAGUAUUCAUUUUUCCAUAUCAGAAGAAAUGCAGAAAAUAUAUUUUUUACAGAAAAUUACACAGAAACCUUACAAACUAAAUAUAUCAAAUUCAUUUCAAAAUAUUUAGUGUGUCCACACUUUUCAGUUUUUCAAAGAUCUGCAGGGGUAUUUUUCCACACCUCUAACUUCCUUAGAAGUUGGUUGUAUACUCUGCUUCUUACUAUCCAAGUGAUCCCAACACACAUUCAGUGAUGUUGAGGUCUGGACUCUGGGUGUGGUCAGUCCAUUGUUCUGAGAACACCAGCAACGUUUUUGUUUGAUUUGCAAAUGUUAUGCUUUUUGUCGGUUUCCUUUUCUCUGUAAUGGCUUCUCGGCAGCUACACACCUUUUCAUGUGGAUAGUGUAGAGUCUUCUAAAAGUGGAAGGAUGGACAGAAACAUCUAUGGAUUGAAACAAGAGUGGACCUUGAUUUUCACCUCUCUUUCAAAGAUCUUUAAUUACCGUUUAUCUGAUGGUGGCAGUUUGGUGGUCUAUACGGUCUUGCUCUGUUGUUAAGAGUCCCAUUUUCACUGCAUCAUUUAAUAAAGCUAUUUAAUAGCUUAAUAUUAUUACUCCAGUUUUAUGGACCGCUGUUUUUUUUUUUUUUCCUUUGAUGUUUUUGCGAGUGG